GCAACUCUAGGGUUUAGGACAAAAGUUUGUUCUUUUAAGACAAGCCUAUUCUUAAUAGCUCUAAGGGUUCAAGAGAUCCAAAAAAAGGUGGUCAGAUCUAGUAGAUUAUUCUGAGAGGUUCAGACUCAGGUCUGAAGGAGGUCUGAUCGACUGGUGGCUAGUCGAGUUCUAGGUGCUAGAACUCUUGAAGCAAGGUGAAGGAGGAGCGCUAUCUUUGGUUCA
This 222-nucleotide long non-coding RNA is filed under the name Elaeis guineensis (African oil palm). Its description in RNAcentral is "long non-coding RNA (EGUI_LNC082021)". Lineage: Eukaryota; Viridiplantae; Streptophyta; Magnoliopsida; Arecales; Arecaceae. The record is from RNAcentral.